GACGGGUGAGUAAUGUCUGGGAAACUGCCUGAUGGAGGGGGAUAACUACUGGAAACGGUAGCUAAUACCGCAUAACGUCGUAAGACCAAAGAGGGGGACCUUCGGGCCUCUUGCCAUCAGAUGUGCCCAGAUGGGAUUAGCUAGUAGGUGGGGUAACGGCUCACCUAGGCGACGAUCCCUAGCUGGUCUGAGAGGAUGACCAGCCACACUGGAACUGAGACACGGUCCAGACUCCUACGGGAGGCAGCAUG
Molecule: ribosomal RNA, 251 nt
Filed under: uncultured bacterium
Lineage: Bacteria
Description: partial 16S ribosomal RNA
Rfam family: Bacterial small subunit ribosomal RNA
Source: RNAcentral